GUUCAAUGAAAACCUUCUUAGGAAGGAAGCCAGUUCAUAUCCUUUUACUCAGCAAUCUAGCUAGUCCCUGAAAUAUACAAAAAUCUUGGAAUCCAGAGAUUUCGCUGGGAAUUUUCUCUGAGCUAAUUUUGCAGAAUUGGGCCUCUCGUCUCUCAGGGCCAAAUCCUGGCUGUACCUGCACCCACAGCACAGAGCUGGAUGGAGCUGUGCAUAAACUGGACUGUUUGAUCUUUAAAAGGCUGAAGAAAACCCCAGACCUGAUACCCCAUACAUUGGUCCAGGGCAGAGGUGUUCUGGGCUGUGUGAGUUGGUUAAAGUGACAGUAGACAGGAUGAAGAAGGAUUAUAUGGCAAUGGAGAACUGACUGGAUCCC
This is a long non-coding RNA of Mauremys mutica (yellowpond turtle), 373 nucleotides long. RefSeq lists it as uncharacterized. The transcript is spliced from 3 exons. The record is from RefSeq and is a predicted model, not a curated record. NCBI's taxonomy places the organism in Eukaryota, Metazoa, Chordata, Testudines, Geoemydidae.